AAGUUCUACGGCCCGGGUGAGGAGUUGGAAGGGGAGGGGAAGGACCCCCUGCAGCUGAAGCACAACCCCCUUCGGACAGGGAGGCCUCUGGGCACCGGGCCACGUUUAGGGGCAUGUAAAGUCCCAACCCUCCAGUCUCUGAAGUCCAGACGUAUAAGCAACACCUCGGACUCUCUUUAAACCAGUUUUAGUUCGGAGUUGCUUUCCAUGAUUAACAAGCGGGUCCAUAUGGAAUAUUUGCUGGUAGGGAUGCCUCCAGAGGACUGGCCACAUUUUGCCUAGAUAAAGAUGCACUUAGAGAUGAAUAUGAUGAUCUCUCAGAUUUGAAUGCAGUACAAAUGGAGAGUGUUCGAGAAUGGGAAAUGCAGUUUAAAGAAAAAUAUGAUUAUGUAGGCAGACUCCUAAAACCAGGAGAAGAACCAUCAGAAUA
This 430-nucleotide long non-coding RNA is filed under the name Homo sapiens (human). RNAcentral's name for it is "non-protein coding lnc-MFSD8-8:2". Lineage: Eukaryota; Metazoa; Chordata; Mammalia; Primates; Hominidae. The record is from RNAcentral.